UAUAUUGCACAAUGGGCGCAAGCCUGAUGCAGCGACGCCGCGUGAGGGAUGACGGCCUUCGGGUUGUAAACCUCUUUCAGCAGGGACGAAGCGCAAGUGACGGUACCUGCAGAAGAAGCACCGGCCAACUACGUGCCAGCAGCCGCGGUAAU
RNAcentral lists this ribosomal RNA (152 nucleotides) under uncultured bacterium. Its description in RNAcentral is "partial 16S ribosomal RNA". It matches the Rfam family "Bacterial small subunit ribosomal RNA", at positions 359 to 524 of the family's 1533-position model. The record is from RNAcentral.